UUAAAUUAAAAUGUUUAGUUUAAUAACGAUCACAGUUAUAGUUAUUGCAAUUUCAGUUACUAUACCACCUACUUCAGGUCAUGACCUGGUUAUCAGACAAAAUUAUUGUCGUAGUUUUCUAACAUAUUAUUGUGGAUUUCAGAGUA
Molecule: long non-coding RNA, 146 nt
Organism: Diuraphis noxia (Russian wheat aphid)
Lineage: Eukaryota; Metazoa; Arthropoda; Insecta; Hemiptera; Aphididae
Source: RefSeq, a predicted model, not a curated record